UGGGUCUAAUACCGGAUAUGACCUGCUGUUGCAUGACGGUGGGUGGAAAGUUUUUCGGCUGAGGAUGGGCCCGCGGCCUAUCAGCUUGUUGGUGGGGUGAUGGCCUACCAAGGCGACGACGGGUAGCCGGCCUGAGAGGGCGACCGGCCACACUGGGACUGAGAUACGGCCCAGACUCCUACGGGAGGCAGCAGUGGGGAAUAUUGCGCAAUGGGCGAAAGCCUGACGCAGCGACGCCGCGUGGGGGAUGACGGCCUUCGGGUUGUAAACCUCUUUCGACCGGGACGAAGGGUGACUGACGGUACCGGUAGAAGAAGCACCGGCCAACUACGUGCCAGCAGCCGCGGUAAUACGUAGGGUGCGAGCGUUGUCCGGAAUUAUUGGGCGUAAAGAGCUCGUAGGCGGUGUGUCGCGUCGGUCGUGAAAACUUGGGGCUCAACCCUGAGCGUGCGGUCGAUACGGGCAUACUUGAGUUCGGCAGGGGAGACUGGAAUUCCUGGUGUAGCGGUGAAAUGCGCAGAUAUCAGGAGGAACACCGGUGGC
Molecule: ribosomal RNA, 543 nt
Filed under: Pseudonocardia sp.
Lineage: Bacteria; Bacillati; Actinomycetota; Actinomycetes; Pseudonocardiales; Pseudonocardiaceae
Description: bacterial SSU rRNA
Rfam family: Bacterial small subunit ribosomal RNA
Source: RNAcentral